Molecule: long non-coding RNA, 717 nt
Filed under: Homo sapiens (human)
Lineage: Eukaryota; Metazoa; Chordata; Mammalia; Primates; Hominidae
Description: HSALNT0311541
Source: RNAcentral
UGCUUCUCUCCGGCUCCGGUGCGGCGGGCGGCGGGGCUUGUCCAACAUCCCUCACCUCCCUCAGUUGGACAUUUCCCUUCCACGCUCGGAUGCCCAGCCGCGCCUGUUUUCUUGCAUCCCUCCUGUCGUGUCUGCGGGGCUGCCCUGAAGGCCUCUUUCCCUCCAGGGAAGAAAGGGAUCCAAAGCUAGGGGUGAAAAUAGGGCCAGCAGUAUCUAGCAGACUGGUCCUGGCCAGGAGAAGGGGUUAAGGGAGCCACUCAUUCUUCGCCUGGGUACACUUCAAAGAGGGGAACCAGAUCCUACGGGAAGCUAGGUGCCAGAACUCCUGCCUUUCCAAGACGAGCUCAUCCCCAUCAUCACCAUACCCAGGAAUACUUGUUCAUAGCCAGCUCAGAGGUGCACCAUACUUUAGCUUCCCACGGCCUUCACUCGUUUUCUCCUGUGGGUGAAUUCUAACUAGGCUCGCCUGUCACCAAAGAUGGAAACAGAGAAUAGAUCCUGAACACCAGGAAGAUGGUGACAAGGUGAUAGAGAAACAGAUGGCACAUUCAAACAAGGGCCCUGAAGUGAUCCUCCUCCUGUUCACUGACACCCGUUGCCAAGAGAGAGAGAGAAAAAGAGAGAGAGAGAGAAGCAGGAAGAGAGGAGAGGGUGCUGGCCUUAUUAGAGAAAGAAUGGUCCCACUCUGUUGCCCAGGUUGGAGUGCAGUGGUACAAU